This 164-nucleotide microRNA precursor is filed under the name Oryza barthii. RNAcentral describes it as "MIR812 microRNA precursor family". It matches the Rfam family "MIR812 microRNA precursor family", at positions 27 to 189 of the family's 205-position model. Lineage: Eukaryota; Viridiplantae; Streptophyta; Magnoliopsida; Poales; Poaceae. The record is from Rfam by way of RNAcentral.
GCAAACCCUGAGUUUCCGUCUUAUAUGAAAUUUUUUUAUAAUUAGUAUUUUCAUUGUUGUUAGAUGAUAAAACAUGAUUAAUACUUUAGGCGUGACUUAUCUUUUUAACUUUUUUUAUAAUUUUUUCAAAUAAGACGUACGGUCAAACGUUGGACACGAAAAAC